AACGAACGCUGGCGGCAUGCCUAACACAUGCAAGUCGAACGAGACCUUCGGGUCUAGUGGCGCACGGGUGCGUAACGCGUGGGAACCUGCCCUUAGGUUCGGAAUAACUCCCCGAAAGGGGUGCUAAUACCGGAUAAUGUCUUCGGACCAAAGAUUUAUCGCCUUUGGAUGGGCCCGCGUUGGAUUAGCUAGUUGGUAGGGUAAAAGCCUACCAAGGCGACGAUCCAUAGCUGGUCUGAGAGGAUGAUCAGCCACACUGGGACUGAGACACGGCCCAGACUCCUACGGGAGGCAGCAGUGGGGAAUAUUGGACAAUGGGCGAAAGCCUGAUCCAGCGAUGCCGCGUGAAUGAUGAAGGCCUUCGGGAUGUAAAGCUCUAUUAGCCGGGAUGAUAAUGACAGUACCGGGAGAAUAAGCUCCGGCUAACUACGUG
RNAcentral lists this ribosomal RNA (433 nucleotides) under uncultured bacterium. RNAcentral describes it as "partial 16S ribosomal RNA". It matches the Rfam family "Bacterial small subunit ribosomal RNA", at positions 29 to 507 of the family's 1533-position model. The record is from RNAcentral.